Molecule: non-coding RNA, 1693 nt
Organism: Podarcis lilfordi (Lilford's wall lizard)
Lineage: Eukaryota; Metazoa; Chordata; Lepidosauria; Squamata; Lacertidae
Source: the annotation of a GenBank genome assembly
CAUAGAAAUACAAUUGGUAGACAGGACAAUUGGUGUCAUUUCCCUUCCUCUCCUGGACAGGAAAGAGCAUAUAGUGCUUCCUAUUCCUCUCUCCUCUCUUCUUUUGACCAGCAUUGGAUGCAGACAUGCCUCUGCUUGCUUCAGCUUUAGGCACAUGCCUGAAGCUCGUUGUAUUGUAUAUAUAUCUUUUUCCUGCAUAGUUUUUACUACUGCCAUUGCUGUGAACCAAUGCAAGAUUAUGUGAGUAAAUUAUAUUUUUAAACUUUGCAAGUUGUUGGCUGAUUCUUUGCUAAGUAGGGAAAGAAGGGGGAAGCCAGCUGGACUUGCCCAAAAUAAGACAUUGCAGCCUAAUUCCUAUGCUUUUAAUUUUGCUGCCAAGGAUGGGAUUUUGAAACUGUUCAACCUACACAUGUGGUGCCUGGAUAGAUAAAUUGCAAUUAAUAUAUCCUCUCCUAUCCAUUAAAAUCCAUGCCAUAGGAACAUGCUUCCUAGUCCCCCUCCCGUUCUGAGGCCAGCUUAACAGGACAGAGAUAGGGAGGACAUGGCGAAGCCCUAGUAAUAAAAAAAUACCACACAUGGCAAAGUUAUAGCCUUUAUUGAAUAGCCUUUGGGGAAGUGGGGGUUGAGAUAGAGGCCUAAACAAACAUAGGCCUGUUUUCAGACUGGUAGCCCCAGCUGGGCUCCUGUGCCUUUGAAAGUUGCAAGACAGACAGCAGAGUAGCAGGAGUUGUGCUGCUUACAGAGGAAGAUCAGGUGGGAAAAUGGGCAAGGCUUCAUAGCUGUGUAGAAAGGAUAAUCCCAGCAGGUGCAGCUUUCCUGGAAGCCUGCAUGUAGCUGGGCAUAAAGAAGGCCCUCUUGUCCUCUUCCUCUGUUAGAGAGCUGUGAAGGGAGACACACAGAGAGUAAUGAGCAGUGAUCAGCAACUGGAGCAAGUGAGCCCUGGAUGCAGAGGUGGUGCUUGUGAUGAUGACAGCAAGAGAGGGAGUGGUGCCACUUAAGCACUCAUCCAGCCCCCUUGCCUCAGUCUCCCCUAAGAAGUAGGCAAUACACACCCCUUCACCUGCAGGGGGCUUGCAGCAUGUGUGCAGCGGCUGUUUGUUCUGUUCCCUAUGUCCAGGCUGUGAUCCUGCAAGGCAAGAGUUCUUGGGUAGGAUCAGCAUCCUCCAGUAGAGAACACCUCUGCAUGCUGACCCUCAUGUUGCCUGGGUGGGAGAUGCUGCUCCCCGCUGGUCCAGAGGAAAGAGGCUUCCAGCAAGAGGUGAUGAAGACAGCUGCAACACUUAAACUUAGUAGCUUGCUUGUGGGGAUGCUUUGUUCUGGCCUCCCCAGUUUGAGAGAGGGAGUAGAGUGUUUUGACCUGAAGUCCCAAGACAAAGUACCUGUAAGAGGUCUGGGAAAGAAGUGUUACCAUUGUGCUCUUUCUAUAUAUGCAUGACACGAGAUCAGAGCAAUAAAGUCUCAUGCCCUGUCAUUUGAGUUGUGGUCUUUCUCUCCCUGGGAUUUUGACACUGAUAUUGGUGUGCUGUGAUUAGAUUCUGUGGCAUCAUGAGUAGGGCAGGAGGGUAUGGGGAACAGUGGCUCUUACUCCAGUCCUCUGAGUGGGUGAUAUUUCACAUACAACUGUUCUGUAGUUGGUGUUGAGGUCAGGACUUUUUUCUGGCAUUGGGGCAGGAAAAACAUCUGAAGCACUACA